RNAcentral lists this ribosomal RNA (492 nucleotides) under uncultured bacterium. RNAcentral's name for it is "partial 16S ribosomal RNA". It matches the Rfam family "Bacterial small subunit ribosomal RNA", at positions 29 to 507 of the family's 1533-position model. The record is from RNAcentral.
AGCGAACGCUGGCGGUAGGCCUAACACAUGCAAGUCGAACGGCAGCACAGUAAGAGCUUGCUCUUACGGGUGGCGAGUGGCGGACGGGUGAGGAAUACAUCGGAAUCUACUUUUUCGUGGGGGAUAACGUAGGGAAACUUACGCUAAUACCGCAUACGGCCUACGGGUGAAAGCAGGGGAUCUUCGGACCUUGCGCGAUUGAAUGAGCCGAUGUCGGAUUAGCUAGUUGGCGGGGUAAAGGCCCACCAAGGCGACGAUCCGUAGCUGGUCUGAGAGGAUGAUCAGCCACACUGGAACUGAGACACGGUCCAGACUCCUACGGGAGGCAGCAGUGGGGAAUAUUGGACAAUGGGCGCAAGCCUGAUCCAGCCAUACCGCGUGGGUGAAGAAGGCCUUCGGGUUGUAAAGCCCUUUUGUUGGGAAAGAAAAGCAGCAGGUUAAUACCCCGCUGUUCUGACGGUACCCAAAGAAUAAGCACCGGCUAACUUCGUG